UANCAUGCAGUCGAACGGUGAAAGAGGAGCUUGCUCCUCUGGAUCAGUGGCGAACGGGUGAGUAACACGUGAGUAACCUGCCCUUGACUCUGGGAUAAGCGUUGGAAACGACGUCUAAUACCGGAUAUGAACCGCGAAGGCAUCUUCUGCGGUUGGAAAGAAUUUUGGUCAAGGAUGGACUCGCGGCCUAUCAGCUAGUUGGUGAGGUAACGGCCCACCAAGGCGACGACGGGUAGCCGGCCUGAGAGGGUGACCGGCCACACUGGGACUGAGACACGGCCCAGACUCCUACGGGAGGCAGCAGUGGGGAAUAUUGCACAAUGGGCGAAAGCCUGAUGCAGCAACGCCGCGUGAGGGACGACGGCCUUCGGGUUGUAAACCUCUUUUAGCAGGGAAGAAGCGAAAGUGACGGUACCUGCAGAAAAAGCACCGGCUAACUACGUGCCAGCAGCCGCGGUAAUACGUAGGGUGCAAGCGUUGUCCGGAAUUAUUGGGCGUAAAGAGCUCGUAGGCGGUUUGUCGCGUCUGCUGUGAAAACGCGAGGCUCAACCUCGCGCCUGCAGUGGGUACGGGCAGACUAGAGUGCGGUAGGGGAGAUUGGAAUUCCUGGUGUAGCGGUGGAAUGCGCAGAUAUCAGGAGGAACACCGAUGGCGAAGGCAGAUCUCUGGGCCGUAACUGACGCUGAGGAGCGAAAGCGUGGGGAGCGAACAGGAUUAGAUACCCUGGUAGUCCACGCCGUAAACGUUGGGAACUAGAUGUGGGGACCAUUCCACGGUCUCCGUGUCGCAGCUAACGCAUUAAGUUCCCCGCCUGGGGAGUACGGCCGCAAGGCUAAAACUCAAAGGA
This 847-nucleotide ribosomal RNA is filed under the name Labedella sp. RNAcentral's name for it is "bacterial SSU rRNA". It matches the Rfam family "Bacterial small subunit ribosomal RNA", at positions 51 to 908 of the family's 1533-position model. The record is from RNAcentral. Lineage: Bacteria; Bacillati; Actinomycetota; Actinomycetes; Micrococcales; Microbacteriaceae.